CCUGGGGAUUGGAGUGGUUAAUUCUACUAUAUGUGGCAUUUUAUUGUCAGCAAUAGAAUGUAAAGUUGUUUGCCGUUUUAAAUGAAUGUUGCUUGUAAUUACAGAACAAAGCCAAUAUGAGUUUAGUACCAGUAUAUAACGUGGGUAACAUUUUGUGAUACAAAAGGGUGUUGCUAUGGUACCGACCAGCGCAUCUCUCGAUGCCCUUGAUGACGACGGAGGCGAUGCCUUGCUUCGGUUUGCGUCUCACGUUGAUGUACACGUUGUGCUUCUGCAUGAGCUUGGUGGCCGCCUCGGUCUCCACGCGGCACGCCUCUUCAGACACGUCGAAUAUCACCACCAGGGGGAGGCUGCCCUGUUAAGAUAAUCAUCAUCAUCAUCAUCAUCAGCCGCAGCAUGUCCACUGCUGAAUAUGGGCCUCUCCUAUAAUAAUAAUACGACUUAAUAUUUUUUAUUUGAAAUCAAUAGAUGUUGCUCAGGACUUUUGCGUAAAGGAAUCACAGGUCUGUCUUUCCAAGAUUUAAAGGACAACUAUAGUCAGUCACAAAGGUACCUGAGCAAUUUUAAAAGUUCAAAUUGCCUUUACACUAUUGUGUCCCUUAUCAAUUGUAGUUUUUACUUUUACUAAAAUAUACCUCAAAUUUAUUUUAACAUCA
This is a long non-coding RNA of Manduca sexta (tobacco hornworm), 656 nucleotides long. RefSeq lists it as uncharacterized. The record is from RefSeq and is a predicted model, not a curated record. Lineage: Eukaryota; Metazoa; Arthropoda; Insecta; Lepidoptera; Sphingidae. The transcript has 2 exons.